AGUAAGGUCAGCUAAAUUAAGCUAUCGGGCCCAUA
This 35-nucleotide transfer RNA is filed under the name Canis lupus (wolf). RNAcentral's name for it is "partial tRNA-Met". Lineage: Eukaryota; Metazoa; Chordata; Mammalia; Carnivora; Canidae. The record is from RNAcentral.